CACGUGGCCGGCGCCAGUCAGGAGACUCAGCUGCCGCGCCAGCGCUAACGAGCAAGGACCGCUGAGCGUGGAACUGGCGCUUUCAUGGAAAAUAUUCAAAAGCAGAUGGCCUCUGGAUUAGUGCCAGAGCUGUUCCCGGGGCAGAGAAGCAUCUAGACUUUGUCACUACCAGGGGUGCGGCUCCACCCGAGCCUCUAGAAAUGAGGGAGAGGACGACUCUGUCCUUCUACAAUUUAGAUGUAGCCAGGAUGAAACGGCACGGACAGGCUUUCCAGCAGGGAGCCUGGUGAAGCCUGCGUCACGUGGCCGAUAGAGCGGUCCCUCCUCCAUCCCUGUUACCCACACCGCUGUGUACUCAUCUCCAAACCUGCAGUAGGAA
Saimiri boliviensis boliviensis (Bolivian squirrel monkey) is the source of this 379-nucleotide non-coding RNA. The record is from RefSeq and is a predicted model, not a curated record. Lineage: Eukaryota; Metazoa; Chordata; Mammalia; Primates; Cebidae.